GACGAACGCUGGCGGCGUGCUUAACACAUGCAAGUCGAACGGAAAGGCCCUGCUUUUGUGGGGUGCUCGAGUGGCGAACGGGUGAGUAACACGUGAGUAACCUGCCCUUGACUUUGGGAUAACUUCAUGAAACUGGGGCUAAUACCGGAUAGGAGCUCCUGCUGCAUGGUGGGGGUUGGAAAGUUUCGGCGGUUGGGGAUGGACUCGGGGCUUAUCAGCUUGUUGGGGGGGUGGUGGCUUACCAAGGCUUUGACGGGUAGCGGGCCUGAGAGGGUGACCGGCCACAUUGGGAUUGAGCUGCGGCACAGACUCCUACGGGAGGCAGCAGUGGGGAAUAGUGCCCAAUGGGCGGAAGCCUGAUGCAGCAACGCCGCGUGCGGGAUGACGGCCUUCGGGUUGUAAACCGCUUUCGCCUGUGACGAAGCGUGAGUGACGGUAAUGGGUAAAGAAGCACCGGCUAACUACGUG
RNAcentral lists this ribosomal RNA (468 nucleotides) under uncultured bacterium. RNAcentral describes it as "partial 16S ribosomal RNA". It matches the Rfam family "Bacterial small subunit ribosomal RNA", at positions 28 to 507 of the family's 1533-position model. The record is from RNAcentral.